GUGCUCGCUUUGGCAGCACAUGUACUAAAAUUGGAAUGAUACAGAGAAGAAUAGUAUGGCCCCUGCACAAGGAUGACACAAAUUCGUGAAGCAUUCAUUAAAAAA
Molecule: small nuclear RNA, 105 nt
Organism: Erinaceus europaeus (western European hedgehog)
Lineage: Eukaryota; Metazoa; Chordata; Mammalia; Eulipotyphla; Erinaceidae
Source: Ensembl